This 217-nucleotide long non-coding RNA is filed under the name Pan troglodytes (chimpanzee). RNAcentral's name for it is "long non-coding RNA NONPTRT014885". Lineage: Eukaryota; Metazoa; Chordata; Mammalia; Primates; Hominidae. The record is from RNAcentral.
CCUCGGCCUCCCAAAGUGCUGGGAUUACAGGCAUGAGCCACCGUGCCCGGCCAGACUAUCAUUCUUAAGAAGCAAUUCCUUUAAACAUAUAAUCAGGCCAGGGAAACCCCAUCUCCACUAAAAAUACAAAAAAAAUUAGCCAGGCGUGGUGGUGCAUGCCUGUAAUCCCAGCUACUUGGGAGGCUGAGGCAGGAGAAUCACUUGAACCACGGAGGCA